This 74-nucleotide transfer RNA is filed under the name Purpureocillium takamizusanense. Its description in RNAcentral is "tRNA-Met". It matches the Rfam family "tRNA". From Rfam's summary of the family: Transfer RNA (tRNA) molecules are approximately 80 nucleotides in length. Their secondary structure includes four short double-helical elements and three loops (D, anti-codon, and T loops). Lineage: Eukaryota; Fungi; Ascomycota; Sordariomycetes; Hypocreales; Ophiocordycipitaceae. The record is from RNAcentral.
AGCUUUAGUAGUUUAAUGGUUAAAACUCAGAUUUCAUAUGUCUGUAAUAGAAGUUCGAUUCUUCUCUAACGCUG